This 650-nucleotide long non-coding RNA is filed under the name Oryza brachyantha (malo sina). Its description in RNAcentral is "long non-coding RNA (OBRA_LNC002333)". The record is from RNAcentral. Lineage: Eukaryota; Viridiplantae; Streptophyta; Magnoliopsida; Poales; Poaceae.
GGAAAAAUAGUAGAAGGAACAAUCCUUAAAUUAAUCCUGUAAUUUGUUGGAUUACAAUUCAUAAGUCUCGUAGCCCAAACAGGCAAGUUCUAUACAUGAAUCUGCAACAGAUCUGCUGCUGCUCCCCACACUAAUAGGCACUCACAUGCGAAUGGGCAUGUAGCCCAGUGGUUACAAAUGCCUCAGUAGCACUUGAGGUACUGGGUUCGACUCUUUAUUGGAGCGAAUUUUUCAGGAUUCUAACAGCUUUGUGCUUUCAGUGGGAGACGACGUUCCCAACUCAAUGAUUAGGAUGGUGUCCAUAACCUUAAAUAAGUUGACAUCUAGGAUGAAAUAUGAUGUGGCAAGUGAAUAAAUAAGGAAAGAGAAUGAAACCAUGUCUUGCAUGAGACAUGGUUUCUACACAGCAUCCAAGAUAUCAUGUGAGAUAAAUAGCAUUGGAAGAGUAGUGUCUAGUACUAGUUUCUUGAUAAUGUGGAGUUUAUGAAAACUACAUCCAGUGUUAUAGGUUGGGAAUACACUAAUUAGGUCGAUAGGGGCACGUCACGAUUGCUCAAACGAUAUAUAUCCUGAUGGCUGACGCUUUAUUGAUCGCUUCAUUAAUUACGACUAAUUCAUUUCGUUAAGUGUGAACGUAAUGCGUUGUUUUA